RNAcentral lists this ribosomal RNA (451 nucleotides) under uncultured bacterium. RNAcentral describes it as "partial 16S ribosomal RNA". It matches the Rfam family "Bacterial small subunit ribosomal RNA", at positions 28 to 507 of the family's 1533-position model. The record is from RNAcentral.
AGCGAACGCUGGCGGCAUGCCUAACACACGCAAGUCGCACGGGGGGGCUUCGGCCUCCCAGUGGCGGACGGGUGAGGAACGCGUAGGGACCUGUCGAGGGGUGGGGGAUAACCGCGGGAAACUGCGGCUAAUACCGCAUGACGCCGCGGCGUGACAGCCGGGGCCAAAGGCGAAAGCCGCCCGCCGAGGGGCCUGCGUCCGAUUAGCUGGUUGGCGGGGUAGCGGCCCACCAAGGCGUCGAUCGGUAGCUGGUCUGAGAGGGUGAUCAGCCACACCGGGACUGAGACACGGCCCGGACUCCUACGGGAGGCAGCAGUGGGGAAUAUUGGACAAUGGGCGCAAGCCUGAUCCAGCAAUGCCGCGUGGGUGAAGAAGGUCUUCGGAUUGUAAAGCCCUUUCGGCGGGGACGAUGGUGACGGUACCCGCAGAAGAAGCCCCGGCUAACUUCGUG